UGGCUGGGAUGACAUUCACAUUUCUUGUAGAGGAUGGACUAGUCAGGGACUCCAGUUGUGUUUCAGUUAUCUUGAGAGGACAGUCUGCUUAACAGGCUGGGCAGUAAUUGACGAUCAUGUUACACUGGCAGAACAAUCCAUACCAAUGGAUUGAGCUAGCUCUCUUCCCAGGGAGGCAACACACGAAGCAGACUCCCUAAUUAUCCACAGCCAGCUGAAGACAUACAUGCUGGGGCUUUUUCUGUGGGCUUCUUGGCCAUGAGAGAUGCAGGGAAGCACAUAAUGUGUCCAAGCAGAUAUUAGUUCUACAAUGUCAAUAUCCAAAGAACAUUUAGUCCCACAGUAAGCAAAGUGUUAGUCUAGUGUUCAUUUCCUGAAAGUUCCAAUAGAGGCACCAGCGUAGAGAAGGCUUCCUCCACCACCAUCCUCCGGACCGUGGCAAUGCUCAUCUUUGUUCUCUUAGCCUUGUUGCCUUUUCAUUUCCUUCAGCUGUGUAUGUCUCCAAGUCUUUUGUCUGCUGCCCGGAGAAUGAGUAUUAUUUUGAUUAUCACCAUGUGCCAGCAAUUCCAAACAGUGUCAGUUGUAAACUACUCUUCCGCAAUAGAAUUUUAUUUUGUAAUUUUUUAUAAACAUUUAUUUUAGUGUUCAUACCAACCUGCAAGAUGCGAGAAAAGUUCUUAUGUCAUUCAUUUGUGAAAUUAUAACAGCUCUAUUUGUUGCAGAUAUAUUUGGUAGAUGAACCACUAUGAACAGGAUAAAAUGAUUUGUCUAAAUGAAUACAGAAUAGAAUGUGGUAAGUCUGGAACAAGUUACAUGACUAUUCUGAACCAUUAGACCCUGUAACUGACUUUAAGUUCACAUGAAGUUAGUAAAUCUAGACAAUCUCUUCUGAAGUCAUUUCAGUAAGUGUUUCUUAUUCUUAAAAUCCUAGUGAAUUGAAGUUUAACUACCAGGUGACUUUAGAACUUCAGAUUACAAUAGAGAUCAACUCUUUCUACAGCCCAGUCACCUUGCCUUUCCCCCACCAAAGUGAUGGUUAAAAGAUGAAUGGUUUUGAAUGCUGAUUUUAUUCCAGCCAUUACCAAAAAUAUGUAGUUGACCUCUCCUCCAUAGAUGAGCCAAACUCUUCGCCACUGUACCAAUAAAUAUUGGUGAAUUUCUUUGCCUUACAAGGAUAUCUCCCUAAGAAUGUUUCACUGCAAGCUGCCAUGAUGCAUGCCAAAAGUAGCCAGAAGUAGAGAACUGCUCUGAGAGAUUUCAGAAAGCCCCUUCUAGUCCACAAAACUAUGAGAAAACUGCUUUCUAACAUGGCCACCUUAUCCUCCUCUCAUCAACCUGUGGAUAAUGAGCACUGAUUCUGAGCCCAACACUGCAGAUAAUGUGAACAGUAAGAUAUUAUCCUCAUCAUAAUGAAUUUAUAGAGGCAGAACUGAGAAGCAAUUAAAGAAAAGAAAAUAAUAGAUGAGCAUAAAAUUAAUUGCCAAAUUGAGUGAUUCCACAUCUAGGAAAAGGAAAAGGGAAAAGCACGCAACUUACAUCCCAACCACUUUUGCUACCUUUUCUAAGUUGAUCCUACAACAGCCUUUUAAAACAAGUGUUAUUUUUCCCAUUGUGACUUAGAGGUGAUAUACACAUGAUCACACAGUUAGAAGUAGGAAACACUGGCCAGGCAAGGUGGCUCACGCCUGUAAUCCCAGCACUUUGGGAGGCUGAGGCGGGUGGAUCACGAGGUCAGGAGAUCGAGACUAUCAUGGCCAGCAUGGUGAAACCUCGUCUCUACUAAAAAUACAAAAAUUAGCUGGGAGUGAUGGCGCAUGCCUGUAAUCCCAGCUACUAGGGAGGCUGAGGCAGGAGAAUCACUUGAACCAGGGAGUCUGAGGUUGCAGUGAGCCGAGAUUGCGCCACAGCACUCCAGCCUGGCGACAGAGCAAGACUCCAU
This 1939-nucleotide long non-coding RNA is filed under the name Homo sapiens (human). The record is from RNAcentral. Lineage: Eukaryota; Metazoa; Chordata; Mammalia; Primates; Hominidae.